GGUCCUAUGGCUUAGAAGACAAAGCGCCUGCCUAGUAAGCAGAAGAUCAUGAGUUCGAGUCUCGUUGGGACUU
Daphnia pulex (common water flea) is the source of this 73-nucleotide non-coding RNA. Lineage: Eukaryota; Metazoa; Arthropoda; Branchiopoda; Diplostraca; Daphniidae. The record is from Rfam.